This is a non-coding RNA of Prunus avium (sweet cherry), 319 nucleotides long. The record is from RefSeq and is a predicted model, not a curated record. NCBI's taxonomy places the organism in Eukaryota, Viridiplantae, Streptophyta, Magnoliopsida, Rosales, Rosaceae.
GCGAUCGAACUAAAAAUGUUGGUGUUGUGGAUGUUGAGUACAUAAUCCAUUAUGGUCGCCCUACAUUGGGAGGCUCAGAUGAAAAUGAGGUGAGGAGAGAAUCGUACAACGAAAUGAAGGUGUUCAAAAGGAAAUGGGAACGAGCUGUCAAGGAAAAAAAAGGGUCUGAUGGAUAAAGGGCAGAAGACAAUCUACUAGUGAUGAAUCUUAUGUUAUUUGUUUUUGGGAAUCACUUGACAUUUAGGUUGAAUAACUUAAAUAUGUAGCAUUUUGUUUUUGAGACAUCUUGUGAAUUUGUUGGAAGAAUGUUAGAUAUAUG